GAUGAACGCUGGCGGCGUGCCUAAUACAUGCAAGUCGAGCGAACGGACGAGAAGCUUGCUUCUCUGAUGUUAGCGGCGGACGGGUGAGUAACACGUGGAUAACCUACCUAUAAGACUGGGAUAACUUCGGGAAACCGUAGCUAAUACCGGAUAAUAUUUUGAACCGCAUGGUUCAAAAGUGAAAGACGGUCUUGCUGUCACUUAUAGAUGGAUCCGCGCUGCAUUAGCUAGUUGGUAAGGUAACGGCUUACCAAGGCAACGAUGCAUAGCCGACCUGAGAGGGUGAUCGGCCACACUGGAACUGAGACACGGUCGAGACUCCUACGGGAGGCAGCAGUAGGGGAUCUUCCGCAAUGGGCGAAAGCCUGACGGAGCAACGCCGCGUGAGUGAUGAAGGUCUUCGGAUCGUAAAACUCUGUUAUUAGGGAAGAACAUAUGUGUAAGUAACUGUGCACAUCUUGACGGUACCUAAUCAGAAAGCCACGGCUAACUACGUG
RNAcentral lists this ribosomal RNA (497 nucleotides) under uncultured bacterium. RNAcentral's name for it is "partial 16S ribosomal RNA". It matches the Rfam family "Bacterial small subunit ribosomal RNA", at positions 28 to 507 of the family's 1533-position model. The record is from RNAcentral.